RNAcentral lists this ribosomal RNA (489 nucleotides) under uncultured bacterium. RNAcentral describes it as "bacterial SSU rRNA". It matches the Rfam family "Bacterial small subunit ribosomal RNA", at positions 28 to 518 of the family's 1533-position model. The record is from RNAcentral.
GAUGAACGCUAGCGGCAGGCUUAACACAUGCAAGUCGAGGGGUAUUGGUUUUCGGACCAAGAGACCGGCGCACGGGUGCGUAACGCGUAUGCAAUCUACCUUUUGCAGAGGGAUAGCCCAGAGAAAUUUGGAUUAAUACCUCAUAGUAUAGUACCUUGGCAUCAAGGAGCUAUUAAAGUCACAACGGCAAAAGAUGAGCAUGCGUCCCAUUAGCUAGUUGGUAAGGUAACGGCUUACCAAGGCGACGAUGGGUAGGGGUCCUGAGAGGGAGAUCCCCCACACUGGUACUGAGACACGGACCAGACUCCUACGGGAGGCAGCAGUGAGGAAUAUUGGACAAUGGGCGCAAGCCUGAUCCAGCCAUGCCGCGUGCAGGAUGACGGUCCUAUGGAUUGUAAACUGCUUUUAUACAGGAAGAAACACUGGUUCGUGAACCAGCUUGACGGUACUGUAAGAAUAAGGAUCGGCUAACUCCGUGCCAGCAGCCGA